Molecule: long non-coding RNA, 2501 nt
Organism: Microtus ochrogaster (prairie vole)
Lineage: Eukaryota; Metazoa; Chordata; Mammalia; Rodentia; Cricetidae
Exons: 4
Source: RefSeq, a predicted model, not a curated record
UCUAGCAGCUCCAAGCCACAGCUACAUGGCUCCCAAACAAUGAUUAUGAAAACCACAGUUGAGCGAAGCAUCAGGAAACGGCAUUGCGAAACCACAGCAACAAAUGUGUCUGCGAUACUGAAAACCACAAUUCACAACUAAUACCCCAUGUCGCCAAUGACUAUUAACUAUACAUGUGCAAAUGUGGAAUCAACAAAUUGACCAAGAAAGCUCCCAGGCCAAUCUUAUGAGAUAGCAAAUUACCUUCUUUAUUAUGAAAAUGCAAUGUGAACAGCUGUCUCAAGCUCUUGUCAGCAGGAUUUCCCACUAAGAUGCACUGUGCCCUUAAACUGUGAGCCAAGACAAGGCCUUUCUCCCUGGAUCUGCUCUUUUUGGAAUAAAACUUUCUAAUGUGGUAUCAGAAGAACAUGGAACAGCUGUUCCACACAACCAUCAAAAGAUCAAAUCUUGCCAGCGCCGUGACUCCUGUUCCCCAGCACACUGUGACUCUGUAAAUCAACUUGAAGAUCUGGCACCCCCAUGUGGGUUUUGCCCAACAAAUAGCUUCUGUCUACUUGAUAUAUAACUGAUUCUUAAUAUGAGUGAUAAUAAUAACAGUACUUGUCUUUGAGUAAUUACUACACCCCAAGCUCCGUUUUGAUUAGUUCUGACCUUAUGUUACAACCUCAUGGAAUGAAUGGACAAUGGACGAUUUUUCAUGCGGAUAGAAUAAUUGUAUUAUUUUAUUAAGUACCAACAAAAAGUUAAGUAUAUUUUAUUUUUACUCAGGGAUUACAGAAAUUAAUGAAUUUAUAAUUAUAUUAGCAUAGAAAUUAUUAUCUUUAAGAGGUUGCUUUUCUAAAAGCAUCAGGACUUUAUUUUUAGGAUAGAUAGCAUAGGAUAAGGACUGUGUUCCACAUACGGGGGAUAGGGCAAUACCUUCACUAAACAUCAUUGCUCUUACUUUCCCCCUCUGCAAUUCAGAAUAUUCACCAUGGAUUUUCUUAUUUCCUGAUUAGGUGGGUAACAUAUCAAUGUGGUUUAUAAGACACCUGACCUGGAAAAGCUAAACACACCCAGGAGAAAGGACAAACACCAGAUCUUGACCUACACAUACCAAAUGGGGGCAGAUCGAGUUGUUCCCAUUAAGGAACAUAAAGGUGUGACUUUAUUUGAUCCAUGACAGGAAGCACACAGCUCUCUUCUUGACCAAAGUAUGUAUUGUGGCUAGACACUUACUACACAUCUUCCUCUUCCUGGUCACAUAAGAAAAUUGCAGACCAUGUGCUCCUUUGAAGUUGAAUUGUGAAGACAUAACGAGAAAAUAACCUCCCAGACCCAACUCAUCACAAUACCACAAAAUCUUCUAUCCUUGCAUUCUCUUCUAUGACAAUUAUAUACAUCUGUCUCCUUCAUUUUAGAAAGAAGUAUUUAUUACAGGGAUGGGUCCUUUGGGGUGGGAUACCUUUGAGCCUCAAUGACAAGGAGUUAGUAGGUGGAGGAAGGGAGGGCAUUGAGCUGGUCUUGACAGAUGAAAGCAUCUUUGAAUCCUGAGUCACAAGUUGAGAGAUAGCUUUCGGAAAGCCUUCUGGUGUUUCUCAUGAGUAAACGGUACACAGAUUCUGAAGUGUGUUUGUCACUGUGUUAUAGCCAAGUCUACUCUCCCUGAAGUACAGCCCAAUGCCACAUCAGUUUCUAUUGCCCAUGUCCAAAACAGCUUGCAGUCAGGGUGAAAGUAUAGGGCGGUUUCGUAUGAAACCUAACAUUGAUUGAAACGCACCAACACCAAACUUUCCCAUAGUAGUAAUAGGCUCAGCAUGUAGCUUCUCUACAUACCAGGGAUAACUUUCCUGAAAAGAUCAGACAGGAAAGGCUGUAACGUCUAUGGUAAGCACUAGUGGAUUUUAACGGAGCUUUUAUCCUAUAAACAGAGGAAUUUGAGAUUGUACACUUAGACCUCUCUGACGCGGCUGUGUAUCUGACUUCUCGGUUUCCACGAGCUUUCUUCUUUCCCAGGAUCAGUCUUAUCAGAUGAUCAGUUGUUUUUCUUCCUAGAUUCUGAAUGGGAUUGAUGUACAGACAUCAAAAAGACAAAACCACUGAAGGAAAUGUACCCUUUUCUUUGUUCCUGGUUUGACGUUGUUGUGUUUUAUUUUAUUUUUCUACUUUUCCCUAUAAUACACGAGAGGUAAAAAGCAGAGUUAAAAAUAUGACAAAGCUAAAACUGGGGAUGAGGGUGGCAAAUUGUUCACUUCUAUUAGUAUCCACACUACCCGCUAGCUAUAGAUUUGAGGCACCAUUUGCUCAUUAUUUUCCCUGUGAUGUCCUUUUUGUUUUUCCAGAUUGAUGGUUUUUCUAGAUUGACACUGUUUAUGUAUAAUGUUCUUUCUCAAAUGCAUCACCUUUUCUCUUCUGUUGUGAUGUUCUGUAUUAAAAAUAUACUCUUUCUGUUUAUGUAUUAAAUGUACUGUGUGCAUGUAUUAAAGGUAUAAUCUCUAUUCUGAGAUUACAAAAACAUAACA